Non-coding RNA from Schizosaccharomyces pombe (fission yeast), 839 nucleotides. The record is from the annotation of a GenBank genome assembly. Lineage: Eukaryota; Fungi; Ascomycota; Schizosaccharomycetes; Schizosaccharomycetales; Schizosaccharomycetaceae.
UCCAUCUUCCCCAUUCUAUUCAUAGGAAUUUUGGCCGCUUCCCUAGUAGAAGGGACAGCCAAAAAAGAGCGAAAUUUCAAAUGGACUUUUAUAGGAUCUUGGUAAUAUGCAUCCAUGUAUAUACCAGGCUAGUUUUUGCGCCAUUGAAAAAGGAUUUAAAACUUUUACGCUUAAUCAGCCUUUGCAUUCCAAUAAUUCGACCUUUUUCUUUCCUCAUUUACCCACCACCCAAAUCUUUCUCCCCGCUCAACUCUAUUCUUCCAUCUAUCUUACCCAUUAUUCCUUUUGCUAUCUCAUCUAGCCUGCUCUUUUCAUAUACUUUUCACGUUUUCUACCGUUUCCUUUUCCAGCCGCUAUUAUCGGUCCCAUAUGCCAAUUCCAAACAAACCAAUUGUUUACUCGUAGCGAGCUUUGUUUAUUUACCCUAUCGGAGCCCGUUACCGGUUGUCAUAGAAAUAAUGGUACAGCGUUACUUGUAGAUUCAGCUCUUCCCAAUCAGUGGUGUAGCAAAGAGGAUGAUCAAUGGUUACAACAAAUUUCCCUUUGUUUACAUUGUACAUAACCGAUUGUUUACAUUUUGGUUUCUAGGUAGUAAGUCAAAGAAAAAUGUUGCACCUCGAAGCUUUUUAGAAAAAAAAAGCGUAAAAGAACUAUUAAAGAAUUUUCCAAUGACACAUUGAUUCCAUUAUAUUCUAUCCCAUUCUUCUUAUCUACUUUCUCUUCUGCCACCUUCUUGCUUCUUCCAUCCCACACCAUAUCCAGUAUUUUACAUACGAUUCUAGCAAUAUGGCAAGAAACCGUCACUAAAAAUUUCACUAUAGUGAAAACCGAAAAAUUAC